UYCCGGUUGAUCCCGCCGGAGGUUACUGCUAUCGGUGUUCGCCAAAGCCAUGCGAGUCAUAUGUAGCAAUACAUGGCGUACUGCUCAGUAACACGUGGAUAACCUGCCCUUGGGUCCGGCAUAACCCCGGGAAACUGGGGAUAAUUCCGGAUAACGCACAUAUGCUGGAAUGCUUUAUGCGUCAAAUGGAUUCGUCUGCCCAAGGAUGGGUCUGCGGCCUAUCAGGUAGUAGUGGGUGUAAUGUACCUACUAGCCGACAACGGGUACGGGUUGUGAGAGCAAGAGCCCGGAGAUGGAUUCUGAGACAUGAAUCCAGGCCCUACGGGGCGCAGCAGGCGCGAAAACUUUACAAUGCGGGAAACCGUGAUAAGGGGACACCGAGUGUCAGCAUCAUAUGCUGGCUGUCCAGGUGUGUAAAAUACACCUGUUAGCAAGGGCCGGGCAAGACCGGUGCCAGCCGCCGCGGUAACACCGGCGGCCCGAGUGGUGAUCGUGAUUAUUGGGUCUAAAGGGUCCGUAGCCGGUUUGGUCAGUCCUCCGGGAAAUCUGAUAGCUCAACUAUUAGGCUAUCGGGGGAUACUGCCAGGCUUGGAACCGGGAGGGGUAAGAGGUACUACAGGGGUAGGAGUGAAAUCUUGUAAUCCCUGUGGGACCACCUGUGGCGAAGGCGUCUUACCAGAACGGGUUCGACGGUGAGGGACGAAAGCUGGGGGCACGAACCGGAUUAGAUACCCGGGUAGUCCCAGCCGUAAACGAUGCUCGCUAGGUGUCAGGCAUGGCGCGACCGUGUCUGGUGCCGCAGGGAAGCCGUGAAGCGAGCCACCUGGGAAGUACGGCCGCAAGGCUGAAACUUAAAGGAAUUGGCGGGGGAGCAC
Molecule: ribosomal RNA, 875 nt
Filed under: uncultured Methanosarcina sp.
Lineage: Archaea; Methanobacteriati; Methanobacteriota; Methanomicrobia; Methanosarcinales; Methanosarcinaceae
Description: bacterial SSU rRNA
Rfam family: Archaeal small subunit ribosomal RNA
Source: RNAcentral